RNAcentral lists this microRNA precursor (136 nucleotides) under Hordeum vulgare. RNAcentral describes it as "microRNA MIR1122". It matches the Rfam family "MIR1120/MIR1122 microRNA precursor family". The record is from RNAcentral. Lineage: Eukaryota; Viridiplantae; Streptophyta; Magnoliopsida; Poales; Poaceae.
CAUUUACUCCCUUCGUCCCAAAAUUCUUGUCUUAGAUUUGUUUAGAUAUGAAUGUAUCUAGUCAAGUUUUAGUAUUUAGAUACAUCCAUUUCUAAACAAAGUUAAGGCAAGAACUUUGGGACGGAGGGAGUACUAU